This 250-nucleotide long non-coding RNA is filed under the name Elaeis guineensis (African oil palm). RNAcentral describes it as "long non-coding RNA (EGUI_LNC035057)". Lineage: Eukaryota; Viridiplantae; Streptophyta; Magnoliopsida; Arecales; Arecaceae. The record is from RNAcentral.
GGUUUGAUAAGUAAUCAAUCCAUAACCUCCAUCUUGUCAAAACUUUGAUAGAAUGAUUGUAUCACACAGUAACUAUGUACUUAAAGGUUCAUUUUAUUCUAUUCUACUGGCCUGCCAUAAUAUGCAACUAGAUGAUACUGAUGGAUUAUAGAGCCCACAGAGAAUCAGAUAGAUGAUCGGAUAAUUUUUUGAUGAAAAAAAUUGAAAACGUUCCAAUCCAUUGAAAAGAAUUUUAAUGAUAUUGUGAUAG